RNAcentral lists this ribosomal RNA (404 nucleotides) under uncultured Leptolyngbya sp. RNAcentral describes it as "bacterial SSU rRNA". It matches the Rfam family "Bacterial small subunit ribosomal RNA", at positions 355 to 774 of the family's 1533-position model. The record is from RNAcentral. Lineage: Bacteria; Bacillati; Cyanobacteriota; Cyanophyceae; Leptolyngbyales; Leptolyngbyaceae.
UGGGGAAUUUUCCGCAAUGGGCGAAAGCCUGACGGAGCAAGACCGCGUGGGGGAUGAAGGUUUGUGGAUUGUAAACCCCUUUUGAUUGGGAAGAAUAACUGACGGUACCAAUCGAAUAAGCCUCGGCUAACUCCGUGCCAGCAGCCGCGGUAAUACGGAGGAGGCAAGCGUUAUCCGGAAUUAUUGGGCGUAAAGCGUCCGUAGGUGGUUUAGUAAGUCUGCUGUUAAAGCGCGGGGCUUAACCCUGUAUCGGCAGUGGAAACUACUAGACUAGAGUGUGGUAGGGGUAGAGGGAAUUCCCAGUGUAGCGGUGAAAUGCGUAGAUAUUGGGAAGAACACCGGUGGCGAAGGCGCUCUACUGGGCCAUAACUGACACUGAUGGACGAAAGCUAGGGGAGCGAAAG